AGAGUUUGAUCAUGGCUCAGAACGUACGCUGGCGGCACGCCUUAUACAUGCAAGUCGAACGGAGUAGCAAUACUCAGUGGCAGACGGGUGAGUAACAUGUGGGAAUCUUCCCUUUGGUGAGGAAUAACACGAGGAAACUUGUGCUAAUACCUCAUAAGUCUUUACGGAGAAAGCUUUAUGCGCCAAUGGAUGAGCCCGCAUUUGAUUAGUUUGUUGGUAGGGUAAUGGCCUACCAAGACUGUGAUCAAUAGCUGAUCUGAGAGGAUGAUCAGCCACAUUGGGACUGAGACACGGCCCAAACUCCUACGGGAGGCAGCAGUAGGGAAUAUUGCACAAUGGAGGAAACUCUGAUGCAGCGAUGCCGCGUGAGUGAAGAAGGCCUUUGGGUUGUAAAGCUCUUUCGUCGGGGAAGAAAAUGACUGUACCCGAAUAAGAAGGUCCGGCUAACUUCGUGCCAGCCGCCGCGGU
Molecule: ribosomal RNA, 468 nt
Filed under: uncultured bacterium
Lineage: Bacteria
Description: bacterial SSU rRNA
Rfam family: Bacterial small subunit ribosomal RNA
Source: RNAcentral